UUUGGACAUAUGUUUAAUUGGCUGUUACAAUUCUUUUUAUCUUGGGCGUGUAAUAUUUCAAAAUAUUCCCACUUCACUGGAUUUUCAUUUGGAUUUAUCUGCAAGUAAUGUAUGGAUAUUGAAUUGUAUUAUUAAUGGCACAAAAAAAAAACUGAAUAUUACCCGAAGUUGUCUGUUAUUAUAUAGCCGGUUCCUGACACAUUUAAUUAAAUGAGGACUAUCAGAAAAUGCGAAAAUUUUCCUAAUACUGUCAGCGAAAUGUUCAAUAUGAGUUUUUGAACUACCUAAUUUUCCACUUAUACCAAACUCAGACCAUACUCGUCGGUUAGUUUGAGCUCCAUCUGAAACGAACCCAUGGACCCGAGCACCUGCUUUCUCAAGAAGCAACAUAGCUUUAAUAAUUAAUUUUGCCAGUGUUUGUCCAUUAACUGGUCCUUUGAAUGCAAACACUCAGAUAGGUUGUGUAUAAUUAUCAGCUAUGGGUUGGAACAUAAAAACUAACCCAUGUGUGGCUUUAGAAUUUAUGUCUAUUGCUUUUGCACGACGAUUCAAUUCUCUUAUAUUUUUAUUACGCUGACAAAGUAACUUAAGCUUUUCAAGUUUACUUGGAGUACAAAGUAAACGAACACGUUUUACAACAGCUAAUUCUUCAUUAACUAUUAACGAACAUCCAAUAUGUCGAAAAUGUCCAUUACUAUCUAUACAUAGAGUAUUUGUUUUAUAUUUCAACGCUUCUGUUGGUAUAUUAACUCCUUCGCACAUUAUAGCACUAUCCACCUUACAAAUUACGUCUUCAAGUUCUUGUAUACUUUGUACCAAAUUUGAAUUUAAUUUAAGAUGACUAAUCUGAAUUGUAUCAUUCAUAUUUGAACAUCUUAUUGUUGCAUUUUCAUCUAUGAUUACAGAUCGCUCAAAGAAUGAUUCUGCACCAUUUUGAAGGAAACUGCACAGAGUCCAUAUUUAAAAAUAUUUGUUCAAAAAUAUUUUUUAUAGAAUUGGUUAUUUUACUAUGGUCAAGGUUUGGCUCUCUUAUUAAAAUUGUAUGGACUGGAAUACUACACAUUUGAGAUCUAUUAUUUUCAUAUUGUUUCUAAGAAAAAAGCAAAAUUAUGAAUGACAGAAUAUAAACAUUAUAUGUGGAGAUAGGCAAAAUAGGCAGAGCUAAUUCAUCAGAAUUAUCAUUGGAAUUCUCAUGACUAAUAAUCACUUUUUUUACAACACUGUUUGAUUUCAAAGGCAGUUGAUUUGUAUGUAUAUUGCCUUCAUCGACAAUUGCAUCAACAGUAUCAGGAAUAUUAUUAGUUAAACCUUCAAAUUCAACUAUAGGAUAUGCAUCUGCUUUUAAAAGUACCUUAUUAUAAAAAUAUAUGUUAAAAAAAGAAUAAUGUAAAUGUUUUAUAUCUAUAUUAACUG
Molecule: long non-coding RNA, 1413 nt
Organism: Acyrthosiphon pisum (pea aphid)
Lineage: Eukaryota; Metazoa; Arthropoda; Insecta; Hemiptera; Aphididae
Exons: 5
Source: RefSeq, a predicted model, not a curated record